CAAGUUAAUUGUAAAUUAUAUUUGUGAUACGCGUUAGCGCAACCCGAAUACAAACGUAUAAAAAAAAUAUUUUUAUACGGGCAUUCAUACUUUCUUUAUUAUUAUUCUAUUUGAUAUACUAUUAAAAAAAAAGGAAUCACUAGUGCGUAUAAUUAAACGGGCAUUCUAUACACCAACCAAAACUUAAAUCCACAUUCAAAGUUAACCAUAUGUCCAAAAUCCUCCAUGAUUUACUUUGUCCUUUUUUUAUGGAUACACUUUGAUCAACUUUCUGAAUUUGACUUGACCACUCAUACUAAACAAAUGGAAAGAGUACAAGCAGCAUGCUUUUACCCUAUCAACCUACAUAUUAUUUAACUUAACCAAAACUAUCUCCUUCCCUUCCAUUUCGUUAAUUUUUAUUUUCCACACCCUCCAUCUGAUUUUCUCUAUCACCUUUUAGAUGGUGAUUUGAUUGGUGAAUGGAAAUUAUACAACACCAUUAUGAUCCACACACACCCUAAGCCUGACCAUCUCAAGAUUGAAACCUCCUUACAAUAUAUGAACAACUACCAAUGACCAUCCCUUUCAUUUUCUCUGUAGACCAUAAAAAAAAAAUAUGGAAUUCACGUUCUCAAAAACAAAACAUAAACUCACAGACCUUUCAUCUUCAACAUCCACUUACCUCUCUCCUUUUCUCACGGAUCCGGCCGCCGGAGACGAAUAACCGGCCGACUGCCGGUGGUUCGGUGGCUUGGUUUUUCAGGCAAGACCCCCCCCCUUGAUGAAUUCUCGAUGACGGGGCGAAGAACAGAAGAGAGAGAGAGAGGAAGAUAGACGAAGCGGCGCCGCCGCUCACGGCGGCGACGGCGGUGGAAGCGACGAUGGUGGUCGGUGGUGUCUCGCCGGCGACGUUAAGCUCCUGAGAUGAUGCAGAUGUUUUCGACAAUGAAGAGAGGAUGUUGACAGUGGUGGUUCGAGUGGCGAUAGCUGUGGUGGACGCCGGAGCUCCGGUCCGACCGUCGACGACAGUAAGCUCAGUUCAGGUUUGUAUUCUGUUGGUUUCAUGGAACAAGUCAACUUUUGGACUCGAGUUACUAUAACAUGAGUUUGGUUCAGCCUGUCGGUUCAACAAAGUGCAGCUUGGCUAAGGGUAGUUUCGGGUCAGAUUAUAGUUUCGGGUCAACACCGGGUCAAACCCGGUCAGAGCUGGUCAAAGACGGUAAACGGGUCAAGUCCCGAGCUUCGGGUCGGCAGUGGUCAAGUCAGUUUUGGUCAGCCGGUUCGGGUCAAGCGGCUUGGUCAGAUGAUUCGGUUCAGUUGACUCGGUCAACUCAGUGAGUGUUUCGACACGAAGAUUUGGAAUAUUGUAGAAUGCACGCUAGCGAGUCACGUCUUGGAAACGGCAUCACGGAGUCGUAUUUAGCUAGCUUUGCACAUGGAAAUCCAGGUUUCAUUUUCAAAAACUAUGGAACGGUUGGAAUAGGAGAACCCACGAGAUUUCGAG
Long non-coding RNA from Helianthus annuus (common sunflower), 1486 nucleotides. RefSeq lists it as uncharacterized. Lineage: Eukaryota; Viridiplantae; Streptophyta; Magnoliopsida; Asterales; Asteraceae. The transcript is spliced from 3 exons. The record is from RefSeq and is a predicted model, not a curated record.